AUAGUCUCCGAUGCAAGUUUAUUUCAAAUACUGGUCAGGCUAAUACAAAGGAGAGGAAGCUGUACUGACCCAUAUUCAUCAUGUGUGGAAGAGCCAGAUGUCUGUGAAGAAAUGUCUUGUGAACAGUCGCCUGUUCGGAUCAGUGAUCCUGAAUUACAUUUUGAUAAUGUGUAUUCGCAGUCAUCACAGACAUCUGAGACUACAUCUUGCUGCUUUGCAUUCCGUGGCAAAUGCAAACCGCAAGCAGGCUGAGACCAGACAGGGGGAAAAAAGAUACAGACUCUCCUAUCCUUAGUACAAGGCUGGACACCAUGUGGUUAAAGCAGUUAAAGAGAAUUGCAC
Molecule: long non-coding RNA, 342 nt
Organism: Dreissena polymorpha
Lineage: Eukaryota; Metazoa; Mollusca; Bivalvia; Myida; Dreissenidae
Exons: 3
Source: RefSeq, a predicted model, not a curated record